UAAGAAUAUUGUAGUUUAGAUUUUAGUUAAUAGAUUAGUACUUUUCAAAUAGUUUAUAGUAUUUUUACAUUGACAUUCACUUGUCAGGUUUUCUACAAUAUCUUCUCUCACAUUAUACCGCUGUCUCUCUGCGUUAUAUUUUGGACACUCGCACAGUAAAUGGACUACAGUUAGGUUUACUAAACACCGCUCGCAUUGAGGGGGAUUCUCAUUAACCAAAAGAAAUGAGUGAGUGAUGGAGGUAUGUCCUAACCUGAGCCGAUAUAUUUUUCCUAGUAUAUACCUUUCCCUAUUUGGUAGAAACAUCGGACCCACAUCCCCCUUGAACUUCUUUAAGAGCGCUUCCGAUUCUCUCCAUUGCUCAUUCCAGUUACUCCAUGUUCUAGACUUGAUUAUGGAUCGACGCGCGUUUUUUGAUAAAUCAGACAUGUUUUCGUCUGUCAGGUUCAAUUCACCCAUAAUUUCUUUAGCUCUCACCCCCAACGAUCGACAUCGAGCUAAGCGUGCACCUUCCAUUAUUUCGACCAUUCCAUGAUAGUUCGGAUGAUUGCUAUCAACCGCAACUUUCGCGUAAUAAUUGGCCACUAUUUGCUUUCUCCUAAUGGAAAGAGGUGGAAUAUUCGAUUCAACGUGGAGCGACACAGUUGGGCUUGUUGGGAAGGCACCAAGUGAAUACCUUAUUGCUAAAUUUUGGAUUUUAUCGAUCUGUCCCAACAAUGUAGCACUACAAGUGGAAUAGACAUGUGACCCGUAGUCUAUACGUGAUCGUAUCAGGGCUUUGUAUAUGUCGAGCAUUGUUUUAGGGUGGGCUCCCCAUUUAUGAUGAGCGAGCACCCUUAAGAUGUUUAAAGAUUUUCGGCAGGAUGUUACUAGGUUCUCUAUAUGUUUCGUCCAUCUUAGCUCGCUAUCAUACGUUAAACCUAAAAAUUUUAUAUUUCGUACAACAUUAAUGCUUUGAUCGUUCAUAAACAAAACUGGAUCGUAAUGUGGUCUUCGGAGUCGACAGAAAUGGACACAUUUUGUCUUCUCUUCGGACAGCACAUAUCCUACAGCAUUAGCAUUCUCUAGGAUUUUGUUUAUUGCCACUUGCAGUUUACGAGUUAUUUCACCAACCGUUUUACCUGUACAACAAAUCAUCAAAUCAUCGACAUAGAGACAUUUCUCCACUUCCUCAGCGACACCCAUGGCUAUUUCAUUAAUGGCAAUACCAAACAGGGAGCAGCUGAGUGUUGACCCCUGCGGUACCCCAUUCUCCAAAACAUGCUCGUCUGAGUAGGUGUCACCCACUCUGACCACAAAUUUUCUGUCUGACAUGAAUGAUUGUAUGAAUUUUGGCAGAUUCCCACGUAAAUUAUAUUUAAGCAUGUUUUUUAAUAUUCCGUGUCUCCAUGUCAUGUCAUACGCACCCUUUAUGUCAAAAAAGACACUGACCAGAUGCUCGCCAUUAUCGAACGCCCCCAGGAUUUGGUUGCUCAACUUGACCAGGUGGUCAAUCGUUGAUCUCCCCUUCCGAAAGCCGGUCUGAUAUGGUACGUAUAUGUUGUUUCUUUCUAAAUACGUUUGUAACCUUGUAUUAACCAUUUUUUCCAGCAGUUUGCCUAGACAAGAGGUUAAACUUAUUGGGCGAUAAUGCUGUGCUAGCAAAGGAUCUUUUCCCGGCUUCGGUAUAGGUACGACGAUGGCCUGCUUCCAUUCUGAGGGGACUACAAUGGCGAAGCAUCUGGUUAUGUAUGCCAUCCUGGCUCGGUGCGCAUGAUUUGAUGGUGCGAAUCGCAGUGUCAAAUUCUUCAAUGGUGAAUGGUUUGGUCCUUAGAAAGGUAGGAGGAUAAUUUAGGGAGCUACUAACUUUGUAGAAUUGAUCUGCAAUAAUAUUUGUUAUAUCCUGUAGAUUGUUUAUAAUUAUCCCGUUAAUGUUUCUUAAAAAUGCCGGGUAAUUGUAACCGGUUUUUCCGGUUAUUGCUCCCACCUUUUUCCAGACUUCCUUAUUGGUUGUCUCUGGUGUCAUAGUGGAUACAUAUUUUUGCCACGAAUUUCUUUGUGCCUCGAGUAUUCCUCGUCGGCACUCAGAUCUUCGUUUUUUAAAAUCUAUUAGAUUAUCCAAUGUUGGAGACCUGCGGAACCUAUUUAACGCUUUUUUCUUUAAUGAUACUUUGUUUUUUAUUUCAGGUGACCACCAUGGGACCAUUUUUCUGAUGUGACCGGGUUUUGAUUUAGGGAUGCUUGCUUCUGCAGCCUCUAAUAUAGCACUCAUUAUAGAUUGAAGAUUUGAUUCCAUCUGGUUUGGAGGGACGAGCUGCUGCGUAAAAUGUUCCCAAUCAGCUUGUUCAAUUUUAAACUUAGCUAUCGUUCUUAUCGGGGGGUUUUCACCUAGGACUGUGAUGAUUAUGGGAAAGUGAUCGCUGUGAUACAGGUCACUCUCCACCUCCCAUUUAAGCUUAGUAUGUAAGGCCGGUGAGCAUACCGACACAUCGAUGGAGUCAAAUUUCCCGGAUCUGACAUUAAAAAACGUUACAGAGCCGUCAUUUAACAAACUUAAAUUUUUAUUUUCUAUUAAGUUUAACAGGUCGUUACCUCGAGCAUCGUUUGAGCCAGAACCC
Photinus pyralis (common eastern firefly) is the source of this 2597-nucleotide long non-coding RNA. RefSeq lists it as uncharacterized. Lineage: Eukaryota; Metazoa; Arthropoda; Insecta; Coleoptera; Lampyridae. The transcript has 3 exons. The record is from RefSeq and is a predicted model, not a curated record.